Molecule: ribosomal RNA, 454 nt
Filed under: uncultured bacterium
Lineage: Bacteria
Description: bacterial SSU rRNA
Rfam family: Bacterial small subunit ribosomal RNA
Source: RNAcentral
GAUGAACGCUGGCGGCGUGACAUAACACAUUCAAGUCGAACGAGGUAGCAAUACCUAGUGGCGGACGGGUGAGUAACGCGUGAGCAACCUGCCCUUGUGUGGGGGAUACCGUCUGGAAACGGACGUUAAUACCGCAUAACAUAAGAGGACCGCAUGAUCCUCUUAUCAAAGAUUUAUUGCGCAAGGAUGGGCUCGCGUUGGAUUAGAUAGUUGGUGAGGUAACGGCCCACCAAGUCUGCGAUCCAUAGCCGGACUGAGAGGUUGAACGGCCACAUUGGAACUGAGAUACGGUCCAGACUCCUACGGGAGGCAGCAGUGGGGAAUAUUGGGCAAUGGGCGAAAGCCUGACCCAGCAACGCCGCGUGAAGGAAGAAGGCCUUCGGGUUGUAAACUUCUUUUACCAGGGACGAACACAAUGACGGUACCUGGAGAAAAAGCAACGGCUAACUACGUG